RNAcentral lists this ribosomal RNA (500 nucleotides) under uncultured bacterium. RNAcentral describes it as "partial 16S ribosomal RNA". It matches the Rfam family "Bacterial small subunit ribosomal RNA", at positions 30 to 523 of the family's 1533-position model. The record is from RNAcentral.
AUUGAACGCUGGCGGAAUGCCUUACACAUGCAAGUCGAACGGCAGCACGGACUUCGGUCUGGUGGCGAGUGGCGAACGGGUGAGUAAUGUAUCGGAACGUGCCCAGUCGUGGGGGAUAACGUAGUGAAAAUUACGCUAAUACCGCAUACGAUCUAUGGAUGAAAGCGGGGGAUCGCAAGACCUCGAGCGAUUGGAGCGGCCGAUAUCAGAUUAGGUAGUUGGGGGGGUAAAGGCCCACCAAGCCAACGAUCUGUAGCUGGUCUGAGAGGACGACCAGCCACACUGGAACUGAGACACGGUCCAGACUCCUACGGGAGGCAGCAGUGGGGAAUUUUGGACAAUGGGCGAAAGCCUGAUCCAGCCAUUCCGCGUGCAGGAUGAAGGCCCUCGGGUUGUAAACUGCUUUUGUACAGAACGAAAAGGUUUCUACUAAUACUAGGAGCUCAUGACGGUACUGUAAGAAUAAGCACCGGCUAACUACGUGCCAGCAGCCGCGGUAA